Molecule: long non-coding RNA, 1265 nt
Filed under: Linum usitatissimum (flax)
Lineage: Eukaryota; Viridiplantae; Streptophyta; Magnoliopsida; Malpighiales; Linaceae
Description: long non-coding RNA (LUSI_LNC002315)
Source: RNAcentral
GCUUUAUGCUUCUCCGCAGGGUUUGAACUUUUCAUCCUGCAUAUAGCCAUGAUGUGACUAAUUAGACUCUAGGCUGAACCUUCCGGAACAAGCAACAGGAUAGUUGUUUGAAAAGCUGCAAAAUUAUAUUGGAGGACUGCUUACAGUAGGAUUUGCUCCAUCUCCAUUUCGGAAUUUCCUCAGAGACGUGCACAUUUUUUCACAAAGCUUUAUUCUGAUACUUGGCAAGCUUCUUCACUUACGUAUUCAUUCAAGGAAUCUCAGUGUUUGCGUUUUGGCAUUCUGGUGUUGACAUCCUGUGUUUUGUGAUAGGCUCCCAAGGAUGAAUUGUUGCAGACUCAGCUAGCUAACUCUCUUGCAUGGGCUGGAAAGGAACCCGCAUUAGAAUGUGAUGGAGCUUUUAUACCAUCUCUCGCAGAACGAGUAUCCUUUGCAGCCCUACAACCAGUUUCAGGCAAACUAAAUUUCAUUACAUCACAUCUACAUUCGUUCUAAUACAAGGGUAUACAAUGGGAUUCAUGGACGUUGUUUGGUAUUUUUUUCCUUUGACAGGCUCGUCGCAGUCAGAGAUCAUCAAUCUGCAGCAAGAGAAGCUACGAGCAAUGGAUGUAAGAGACACGCUGCUAAGACUGGAUGAUUCUCUAAGACUAAUUAACCAGACCGUUUCUUUGGUCGCCGCAAAGCUUGCAAUUCAGUCUCUGGAAAUGACAUAAGAUUAUAAAUAGUUUGCUUCUCUGUACAGACUACAGAGCUCCUAAAAAUGAUUACUCUAUUUGCAUGAAAAAAGUACGAACGAGACUCUGCGGGUUUGUUUGUUAUCCCACAUAUGAUAUACCGUAGAAAGAGCUCUCUGAUCGGUUUGAAACCACUUUUUUCCUUCCACUCUUCAGAGAUUAGAAGACGCCAUCUUAUAUUAUUUACUCACGUGAUGUGCGCCUAAUUCCGAUGUCCCGCAGCCAGAUCGCUAUCUCAAAUGAUAUCAGCCAUCGAACCUUCUAGGUCUCGCCAAACAGCUAGUGGGUCAACGUAAUGGACGGAUAAGAUUCAGUUGGCGUCUGCUACAUGCUUCCACGAUGAAUGAUUGAGCUAAAGCGGUCACUUCAACUACUCCCGGGUGUUUUACAAAUUUGACCCAAGAAAGAUCCGUCGGUGGCUCUACUACAGAAUUCUGACCACCAUGUCCACCUCAGCCAUCUCCGGUCGUUCUCUUCCAGACGCUGAAAUCCCUCUUCUCUACGACGACACUGUUGAUGGAGCCGUCGACU